CACUAUCGUUAACUGAAUACAUAGGUUAACGAGGCGAACCGGGGGAACUGAAACAUCUAAGUACCCCGAGGAAAAGAAAUCAACCGAGAUUCCCCCAGUAGCGGCGAGCGAACGGGGAGCAGCCCGGAGUCUGAAUCAGCUUGUGUGUUAGUGGAACGGUCUGGAAAGUCCGACGGUACAGGGUGAUAGUCCCGUACACGAAAACACACUUGCUGUGAACUCGAAGAGUAGGGCGGGACACGUGGUAUCCUGUCUGAAUAUGGGGGGACCAUCCUCCAAGGCUAAAUACUCCUGACUGACCGAUAGUGAACCAGUACCGUGAGGGAAAGGCGAAAAGAACCCCGGCGAGGGGAGUGAAAAAGAACCUGAAACCGUGUACGUACAAGCAGUGGGAGCACCUUCGGGUGUGACUGCGUACCUUUUGUAUAAUGGGUCAGCGACUUAUAUUCUGUAGCAAGGUUAACCGUAUAGGGGAGCCGAAGGGAAACCGAGUCUUAACUGGGCGUUAAGUUGCAGGGUAUAGACCCGAAACCCGGUGAUCUAGCCAUGGGCAGGUUGAAGGUUGGGUAACACUAACUGGAGGACCGAACCGACUAAUGUUGAAAAAUUAGCGGAUGACCUGUGGCUGGGGGUGAAAGGCCAAUCAAACCGGGAGAUAGCUGGUUCUCCCCGAAAGCUAUUUAGGUAGCGCCUCGUGAACUCAUCUUCGGGGGUAGAGCACUGUUUCGGCUAGGGGGCCAUCCCGGCUUACCAACCCGAUGCAAACUACGAAUACCGAAGAAUGUUAUCACGGGAGACACACGGCGGGUGCUAACGUCCGUCGUGAAGAGGGAAACAACCCAGACCGCCAGCUAAGGUCCCAAAGUCAUGGUUAAGUGGGAAACGAUGUGGGAAGGCACAGACAGCCAGGAUGUUGGCUUAGAAGCAGCCAUCAUUUAAAGAAAGCGUAAUAGCUCACUGGUCGAGUCGGCCUGCGCGGAAGAUGUAACGGGGCUAAACCAUGCACCGAAGCUGCGGCAGCGACACU
RNAcentral lists this ribosomal RNA (1027 nucleotides) under Enterobacter hormaechei subsp. xiangfangensis. RNAcentral describes it as "partial 23S ribosomal RNA". It matches the Rfam family "Bacterial large subunit ribosomal RNA", at positions 146 to 1215 of the family's 2925-position model. The record is from RNAcentral. Lineage: Bacteria; Pseudomonadati; Pseudomonadota; Gammaproteobacteria; Enterobacterales; Enterobacteriaceae.